This 492-nucleotide ribosomal RNA is filed under the name uncultured bacterium. RNAcentral describes it as "partial 16S ribosomal RNA". It matches the Rfam family "Bacterial small subunit ribosomal RNA", at positions 29 to 507 of the family's 1533-position model. The record is from RNAcentral.
AGUGAACGCUGGCGGUAGGCCUAACACAUGCGAGUCGAACGGCAGCACAGUAAGAGCUUGCUCUUACGGGUGGCGAGUGGCGGACGGGUGAGGAAUACAUCGGAAUCUACUUUUUCGUGGGGGAUAACGUAGGGAAACUUACGCUAAUACCGCAUACGACCUACGGGUGAAAGCAGGGGAUCUUCGGACCUUGCGCGAUUGAAUGAGCCGAUGUCGGAUUAGCUAGUUGGCGGGGUAAAGGCCCACCAAGGCGACGAUCCGUAGCUGGUCUGAGAGGAUGAUCAGCCACACUGGAACUGAGACACGGUCCAGACUCCUACGGGAGGCAGCAGUGGGGAAUAUUGGACAAUGGGCGCAAGCCUGAUCCAGCCAUACCGCGUGGGUGAAGAAGGCCUUCGGGUUGUAAAGCCCUUCUGUUGGGAAAGAAAAGCAGCAGGUUAAUACCCCGCUGUUCUGACGGUACCCAAAGAAUAAGCACCGGCUAACUUCGUG